AGUGAACGCUGGCGGUAGGCCUAACACAUGCAAGUCGAACGGCAGCACAGUAAGAGCUUGCUCUUACGGGUGGCGAGUGGCGGACGGGUGAGGAAUACAUCGGAAUCUACUUUUUCGUGGGGGACAACGUAGGGAAACUUACGCUAAUACCGCAUACGACCUACGGGUGAAAGCAGGGGAUCUUCGGACCUUGCGCGAUUGAAUGAGCCGAUGUCGGAUUAGCUAGUUGGCGGGGUAAAGGCCCACCAAGGCGACGAUCCGUAGCUGGUCUGAGAGGAUGAUCAGCCACACUGGAACUGAGACACGGUCCAGACUCCUACGGGAGACAGCAGUGGGGAAUAUUGGACAAUGGGCGCAAGCCUGAUCCAGCCAUACCGCGUGGGUGAAGAAGGCCUUCGGGUUGUAAAGCCCUUUUGUUGGGAAAGAAAAGCAGCAGGUUAAUACCCCGCUGUUCUGACGGUACCCAAAGAAUAAGCACCGGCUAACUUCGUG
This 492-nucleotide ribosomal RNA is filed under the name uncultured bacterium. RNAcentral describes it as "partial 16S ribosomal RNA". It matches the Rfam family "Bacterial small subunit ribosomal RNA", at positions 29 to 507 of the family's 1533-position model. The record is from RNAcentral.